CCUACGGGAGGCAGCAGUGGGGAAUAUUGGACAAUGGGCGAAAGCCUGAUCCAGCCAUGCCGCGUGUGUGAAGAAGGCCUUCGGGUUGUAAAGCACUUUCAGUGGGGAAGAAAGCCUUGGGGCUAAUACCCUCGAGGAAGGACAUCACCCACAGAAGAAGCACCGGCUAACUCCGUGCCAGCAGCCGCGGUAAUACGGAGGGUGCGAGCGUUAAUCGGAAUUACUGGGCGUAAAGCGCGCGUAGGCGGUCUGAUAAGCCGGGUGUGAAAGCCCCGGGCUCAACCUGGGAACGGCAGCCGGAACGGUCAGGCUAGAGUGCAGGAGAGGAAGGUAGAAUUCCCGGUGUAGCGGUGAAAUGCGUAGAGAUCGGGAGGAAUACCAGUGGCGAAGGCGGUCUUCUGGACUGACACUGACGCUGAGGUGCGAAAGCGUGGGUAGCAAACAGGAUUAGAUACCCGGGUAGUC
Molecule: ribosomal RNA, 465 nt
Filed under: Vreelandella stevensii
Lineage: Bacteria; Pseudomonadati; Pseudomonadota; Gammaproteobacteria; Oceanospirillales; Halomonadaceae
Description: partial 16S ribosomal RNA
Rfam family: Bacterial small subunit ribosomal RNA
Source: RNAcentral